GUCGGGACGCGGCGCCGUUCGGUCGGUUUGCCCUCUCUCGGAGCUGGCGUUCUGGUGGAUAAGAACGUGUGCAGUGCUUGCAAAGUAGAGAACGGAGAUGAAGAGAGAAGACGUUGGAGAGAACAGGUCAUAUGAUUUGACCCUGAGCGGGACUGCAAAUCGAUUAAGCCAGAGGCAAUGAUCGAUUGAGGAUCGAUGGUGCCAGAAUUGAACUCUGAACUUUGGAACGCCCUUAGCUGUAAUAACUUCACAUUAACCGCUACACUACGGUAGCACCCACCUUCAUCUUGAGCAGCUGUGUUACACAAGGAUAUGCUCCAUAGGGUGCACACUGAGACAAUCACUAAAUGCUGUUGGAAGAUCAACUCAGUGAAAGACACCCUUUGCUUUCCCAAAUUUUGUGACUCUUCCAGCGCAAGAAGAUAGACAGAAUGUGGAAGAUUGGCAAGGUUGUGAACAACUUUCUGAAGGGUGUAACGGCCACAGGCUGCCAUUGUACACUGCGAGAACUAGAUCCUAUGUAUAAAUUUUGUGACCCUUGUAUAAGAUCAGGUGUGCUGGCAUUGAAGGGGUUGCAGAGGAGGAUCAAAAGAAUGAUUCUGGGAAAGAAAGGGUUAAUGUAUAAGGAGAGUUUGAUGGUUCUAGGUCUGUACUCACUGACGUUUAGAAGAAAGAGGGGCAAGCUCAUUGAAACCUAUCAAAUAUUGAAAGGCCCAGAUAGAGUGGAUGUGGAGAGGCUGUUUCCUAUGGUGGGGGAGUCUAGGACCAGAGGGCACAGCCUCAGAAUAGAGGGAUAUACCUUUAGAACGGAGAUGAGGAAUUCUUUAGCCAGAGGUUGGGGAAUCUGUGGAAUUCGUUGCCACAGGCCACUGUGGAGGCCAGAUCAUUGGGUGUACUUAAGUUGGAGGUUGAUAGGUUUUGGUUAGUCAGGGUGUGAAAGUUUACAGGGAGAAGGUAGGAGAUGGGGUUGAGAGGGAAAUGGAUCAGCCAUGAUGAAAUGGUGGAGCAGAUGAUGGGCCGAAUGGCCUAAUCAUGCUCCUAUGUCUCGUGUUAUAAAUCAUUUGGAAUGUUAUCUCAAAAAAAGUAUGUACAUGAAAAUGAAUGACAUGCCAGAAUAAUUCAAAUAAUUAAUAAUUUAGGAUUCCAUAACGGUUAACACGCAGGUUGAAUUGGUAGUGAAGAAGGUAAUGCAGCAUUAGUGUUUAUUCAAGGAGACUAGAAUAUUAAAGCAAGGAUGUGACACUGAAGCUUUAUAAGACAUUGAUCAGACCACAUUUUGUUAUUGUGCUCAGUUUCUAAGGAAUGAUGUGCUGGCAUUGGAAAAGAUCUAGAGGAGGUUCGCAGGAGUGAUCCCAGAAAUGAAAGGGUUGAUGUAGUAUGAGAUUGUUCGCUGGCUCUGGGCCUGUCCUUGCUCAAAAGAAUGAGUGGAGUUCUCUUUUUAACACCUACCCAAUAUUGCAGGAGCUAGACAGAGUGUGGACACAGAGACCAUGUUUCUAAUAGUGAAAAAGUCUAGGACCAGAGGGCACAGAAGGAUGUCCUUUCAGAACAAAGAUGAGGAGGAAUUUCUUUUGCCAGAGAGUGGUGAAUCUGUGGAAAUCAUUGUCACAGAUGGGCGUGGAAGUCAUUGGAUGUAUCAAAAGCAGAGGCUGAUGGGUUCUUGAUUAGCGAGGGCAUCAAAGGUUACAGGGAAAAGGAAGGAGAAUGGGGCUGAGAAGGAAAGUAAAUUAUCCAGAAUCAAAUAGCAGAGCAGAACUGAUGCAUCAAAUGCCCUAAUUCUGUCUUGUGGUCACAAAUAAUUGUACAAUUCAUACUGAGAAUGAUGUGUCCUACACAUUUUGUAAUAUUUAUGAAUAAAUUAUUAUCAAUAUAUAGAAAAAA
Long non-coding RNA from Mobula hypostoma (lesser devil ray), 1881 nucleotides. RefSeq lists it as uncharacterized. The record is from RefSeq and is a predicted model, not a curated record. NCBI's taxonomy places the organism in Eukaryota, Metazoa, Chordata, Chondrichthyes, Myliobatiformes, Myliobatidae. The transcript has 3 exons.